RNAcentral lists this ribosomal RNA (446 nucleotides) under uncultured soil bacterium. RNAcentral describes it as "bacterial SSU rRNA". It matches the Rfam family "Bacterial small subunit ribosomal RNA", at positions 26 to 455 of the family's 1533-position model. The record is from RNAcentral.
AGGACGAACGCUGGCGGCGUGCUUAACACAUGCAAGUCGAGCGGUAAGGCCUUUCGGGGUACACGAGCGGCGAACGGGUGAGUAACACGUGGGUGAUCUGCCCUGCACUCUGGGAUAAGCCUGGGAAACUGGGUCUAAUACCGGAUAUGACCUGCUCUCGCAGUGGGGGUGGGUGGAAAGUAUUUAUCGGUGCAGGAUGGGCCCGCGGCCUAUCAGCUUGUUGGUGGGUAAUGGCCUACCAAGGCGACGACGGGUAGCCGACCUGAGGAGGGUGACCGGCCACACUGGGACUGGAGACCACGGCCCAGACCUCCGUACGGGAGGCAGCAGGUAGGGGUAAUAGUUGCAACAAGUGGGACGAAAGCCUAGACUCCACGCAAGUGCCGCGUGAGUGAUGGAAGGUCCGUUAGGGUUAGUAAACGUCCUUACUUUACCCGGAGUAGUAG